GGCUCUGUAGCUCAACUGGAUAGAGCAUCGCACUACGGAUGCGAAGGUUAGGGGUUCGAAUCCCUUCAGAGUCACAA
This 77-nucleotide transfer RNA is filed under the name Crocinitomicaceae bacterium. RNAcentral describes it as "tRNA-Arg". It matches the Rfam family "tRNA". From Rfam's summary of the family: Transfer RNA (tRNA) molecules are approximately 80 nucleotides in length. Their secondary structure includes four short double-helical elements and three loops (D, anti-codon, and T loops). Further hydrogen bonds mediate the characteristic L-shaped molecular structure. tRNAs have two regions of fundamental functional importance: the anti-codon, which is responsible for specific mRNA codon recognition, and the 3' end, to which the tRNAs corresponding amino acid is attached (by aminoacyl-tRNA synthetases). tRNAs cope with the degeneracy of the genetic code in two manners: having more than one tRNA (with a specific anti-codon) for a particular amino acid; and 'wobble' base-pairing, i.e. permitting non-standard base-pairing at the 3rd anti-codon position. The record is from RNAcentral. Lineage: Bacteria; Pseudomonadati; Bacteroidota; Flavobacteriia; Flavobacteriales; Crocinitomicaceae.